CUAGUGCGGACGGGUGAGUAACACGUUGGUAAACCUGACCCCAAAGUGAGGAAUAAGCCACCGAAAGGUGGUCUAAUACUUCAUAAUAUCCAUCUCGUAUGGAUUAAAGCUUUAUGCGCUUUGGGAGGGCCUGCGUAACAUUAGCUUGUUGGUGAGGUAAAGCUCACCAAGGCUUCGAUGUUUAACUGGUUUGAGAGGAUGACCAGUCACACUGGGACUGAGGUACGGCCAGACUCCUACGGGAGGCAGCAGUAAGGAAUCUUCCACAAUGGGGCAACCCUGAUGGAGCAAUACCGCGUGCAGGAUGAAGCGUUUCGGCGUGUAAACUGCUUUUAUCACCGAAGAUUAUGACUGUAGGUGAAGAAUAAGGACCGGCUAACUACGUG
RNAcentral lists this ribosomal RNA (386 nucleotides) under uncultured bacterium. RNAcentral's name for it is "bacterial SSU rRNA". It matches the Rfam family "Bacterial small subunit ribosomal RNA", at positions 93 to 507 of the family's 1533-position model. The record is from RNAcentral.